This is a long non-coding RNA of Gasterosteus aculeatus aculeatus (three-spined stickleback), 4260 nucleotides long. NCBI's taxonomy places the organism in Eukaryota, Metazoa, Chordata, Actinopteri, Perciformes, Gasterosteidae. The record is from Ensembl.
GGAAAUGGUUGUACAGGGGGAGGAAGCUCUCCUACAGGAAGAGGAGGUGGUCCUAGAGGAGGAGGAAGUUGUCUUAAAGGGGGAGGAAGCUGUCCUACAGGAAGAGGAAUCUGUCUUACAGGAAGAGGAAUCUGUCUUACAGGAGGAGGAAGCUGUCAUACAGGGGGAGGAAGCUGUCAUACAGGGGGAGGAAGCUGUCAUACAGGAGAAGGAAGUGGUCAUACAGGAGAAGGAAGUGGUCUUACAGGAGGACGAAGUUGUCUUGCAGGAGGAGGAAGCUGUCCUACAGGAAGAGGAAUCUGUCUUACAGGAGGAGGAAGUGGUCCUACAGGUGGAGGUUGUGGUCGUCCAUGUGGAGGAAGGAGGAGGAAGUGGUCCAACAGGAGGAGGAAGUUGUCUUACAGGAGGAGGAAGUGGUCGUACAGGAAGAGGAAAUGGUCGUACAGAAGAAGAAAGUGGUCCUACAGGUGGUGGCAGUGAUCGUAAAGGAUGAGGAAGUAGUCCAACAGAAAGAGGAAGGAGUUAUAAUGGAGGAGACAGGGGUCCUACGGGAGAAGGAAGUAGUCGUAAAGGAAGAGGAAGUGGUUUUACAGGAGGAGAAAUUCGUUCUAGAGGUGGACGUAGUUGUCGUUCAGGAAGCGGCAGUUGUCAGAGGAGGAACCAGUGCAGCUUGAGACUCCUCUAGUCUUUAAUAAAUAAUGUAUUUUUGAUAAAGCAGAGUGUGUAUUUAUAUAUAACUCUGACUUACUUGUCCUGCACAAUAAUCUAACAUGUUAUUUAUUUACAGGUACCUUUAUUUACGGGUACCUGUGCAAAUAAAUCACAUAAUAUUGCUUUUCAUUAAGGAUCAUACCUGCAGCCAACAUAUUGUAUUCCAUCAUUUUAUACUGCUGACUCAACUGACUCUGUAUAUGAUUAUUUUUCACGUUUGGUGUCUCCACAACAUUUUGUCCCCCGUUGUUCCAUUAUGUUUACGAUGCAGAAUGUUUGGGACAUACUGUAUAGUUAGUAUCAGACUUGAAUGUAAUACUGACUCCCCAACAGUGUCAUGAUCUACAUUCACAAGCUCGUUCCCUUUGGGGAGGAAACCAGAGGAAGAGGCCCCAAUUAGUGAGACAUGGAUAUGGCGCCAGAGGGCGGAGCAUCAGCAGCCGCCAUGACAAGUCUGACCUUAAGUAUAAUGAUUCAUCAUUUUAAUCAACUUGUAAUGUAAAAGAAAUCCAGACCGACCUAAUUAAUUUCUGUAGUUACAAUAGCAGCCUUUCUUUUCGUGCCUACUAACUGUAUGUCUGUAAUUUGGUCUACUUAGGGUGAGGGGGCCUAAUCAGUACACAUUGUCAAAAAUUCCACCUUCUCGAGAACAACAUAAUGAACAGAUUUCCAAUGUUUCUAGCGCCCCCUGUGGACUAGUACUGGUCCCGUGAGUAGACCUUCUCAUUUGAGCGGAGUCCUGGUUGUGCUUCUCCCGGGCCUCCCUUGCCUCCAGCGGGUCCAGCACCACGUCCUGAGUCUCCAGCGGCGUGGCGCCGAUGUUAGCUCCCAGAGAGGAGCGCGGCGACGAUUAACGCCUCGUCCGCUGCGACGGGGCUGAUUCUUUUAGUCAUACAUUUGUUUUAGACCACGGCUGAUUCUGACAUUUCAGUAAGAGGUGUUUCCAGAGCAGCAUAAGUCAUUGACGUAGUCGCUGUGAUGCAUCUGGGUCCAGAGAACAUUUCGACAUCAGGGCAGCACGAGAGAAGCCAACAGCAUUUGUCAACCGCUGCCGAGGCGCUACGCGACGUUCAUUUGUAGGCGAGGAGAUCGAAACUGAGUGCAUCUCGUAAGCAACCUCAGGCCUGAGAUGUUUUACAGUAAACCGUCGGCCUCUUCACACUUCCUCUGAUUUCCUGGAUCCCAAAUAUGCAACUUAAUUAUACAAUGUUGCGCCACGAUUGAAUAAAAAGGCAUCUGGCUUGUGGGUCUGGUGGGAGUUUAAAUACUAAGAGCACAGAUCUAAGCGUCUACUGUCUAGUUUGGGCUUCGGUUCAGAAAAUUUGAAGUUUGAGCGAAACAAAGCAGACGGUCUCCUGUGAGGUCUGAAGAGCUAAUCAGCUGUUUGAGCCGACUCUCUCAGAGUAUAAAUAUUGUAUUGUCGUGUUGUCUGUGAGCAGCAGAGCUUUAGCUCUUUAUAGCUCUGCUCUUUCUUUCUGCAGCUUCGGGUCGAACACAGACACACAGACAGCUUUCUUGUCGUGGGAUUGAAUAUAGAUUUCCUCCUUCACUAGACAACGACAAAAAGAAAGAUGAACACAUCCUCAAUUGGUCACGUGGAGGGGUUGUCCUGAUGACAAAGCGCUUUAAAAGGUGCAACGUGAGUAACGUCACAACAAAUAGGGUAGUCAACGUUUCACCUGCACCUGGACCUCCUGCGGUGCCCUUUGCUUCGCUCCAGCUCCAUCACUUUCACGAUUCUUCCGGGGGAUUCGUCUUCGGUGGCCACUUAUGAACCAGCAGUGAGACGAAGAGAGCGAGACAGAGGACACAACAGAGGAGGACGCUGAGCCGAGUCUCCAGAUGGAAGUUUUCUAGCGGCUUUGAUCAGCCAUUUGUCUGCGGAGCGGCUCGUCUGCGGCGUGGGCGUGAGAGCAACGUCAGCUCCGAGUGAUUAAUGUCUCAAAAUGUUUUCCUAAUGUGGUGAGGAACGGAGCUGGUGGGUAAUUUAGAAUGUGCUUUCGGAAUGUAAACGAGGUUGGUUAGAUCCCCAGGCGGACGCGAGCAAUUUGUAUCCCACGAGGUCGAAGCUGCAGCGAGGUAACGGCGGCAGAAAUCACAAGCAACAAAGAGCACGAAGCAACUUUGUUGCCGAUGAAUAAAGCCAUUUAUUUAAAUGAUUUCAAUUUGUUGAUGAGUAAAAGUUCCCUGGUUUGGGUUCAGGAAAUUAUCGGAGUGGUUUUCAGCUGCAGGUAGAUUUCUUCAUGAGUUCACAUGUAAUAAGAGAGUAAUAAGUGUGCAAAUAAGGCCCCAAAAAAAACAUCUUUAUGAGGUUUUCAAAAUGCGUUUAAAGCUGUUCAGAGAAAUGAAUAUCUUUACUAUAACAAAAGCCAAUCUAACGGUAAAAAGAGGUUUUUAUCAAUAAAAAUAAUUUUGUACCAAUUGAUGAAAGGUUGAACAUUGGUAAAAAUAGUGGAAGGUUGCUAUGGUUACUAUGCAAAGCCGCGUUGACGGGCAAUAUUUUUACAACCGGCUAGAAGAAGCUUUAAGGUUGAUUAGUUUAUUGAGUCUUGCAUACGUUACAUGCGGCCCUGAUCCGCCCGUCGGGUGGUUCAUCCAGUAGUUUGUCUGCCAGCUUGCUGAAAAAAGAAAGAACGUCCAUUUAUGCGACUGACCGUAGAGACGGAUCUCACAGCAAGUCCAUUGAACCUUUUCUUACAAAUAAUAAACUGCAGAAGAGAUAUAAGUUACAUGCUGUUAUCCUUGAAACGUAAUGUGAUACAAUCAUGUUGAAGACGUGUUCAACGGUUCUGCCGAGCACAGAGCCCUCCGGUACCUGGCAGAACCUUGUUGUUUUUGUUGUUAAUUAUGUUUCCUGCUCCUUCCGUUUCCUGGGCUCCAUCAUCACCCAGGACCUCAAGUGGGAGCUGAACAUCAGCUCCAUCACAAAGAAGGCUCAGCAGAGGUUGUUCUUCCUGAGGCAGCUGAAGAAAUUCAACCUGCCAAAGUCUAUGAUGAUCCACUUCUACACGGCCAUCAUCGAGUCCAUCCUCUGCUCCUCCAUCACCGUCUGGUACGCUGCAGCCACAGCCAAGGACAAGGGCAGGCUGCAGCGGGUCAUCCACUCUGCAGAGAGGGUGAUCGGCUGCAAUCUGCCGUACCUGCAGGACUUGUUCGUGGUCACUUUACUGUUAUUUUUCACUUUGUCGUCACUCGUCACUUUGUCACUUGUUCGCUAGUGCACUUUUUAAAACUUUUUUAUUAUUUUAAAUUUUUAAUUCUAACUUCAUUCUCUUGUUUUAUACUAACCCAUAGCCUUCUUCUACUAACCCAUUGCAUUAGCAUUUCAUUUUACUUUAUUUUAUUACUUGUGCACUGCUGUCUUGUUGUCUAUUGUUACACUGUCUACUGUCACGCACCAAACGCCAAAACAAAUUCCUUGUAUGUUUGACAUAUUUUGGCAAUAAAUGUUUCCUGAUUCCUUUUAGAGUCUUGAAGGAAGCAAAGUGGAAGACACGGAAGCGUCCACACGAAGGACAGAAUUUAGAACAUUUAGAAUCUUUAAAAAGC